AGGUUGACCUCGGAUCAGGUAGGGAUACCCGCUGAACUUAAGCAUAUCAAUAAGCGGAGGAAAAGAAACCAACAGGGAUUGCCUCAGUAACGGCGAGUGAAGCGGCAAGAGCUCAAAUUUGAAAUCCGGCCCCCUUGGGGGCCUGAGUUGUAAUUUGCAGAGGAUGCUUCGGGCGCGACCGCGGUCCAAGUCCCCUGGAACGGGGCGUCGUAGAGGGUGAGAAUCCCGUCUCCGGCCGGCCGGUCUCGCCCGUGUGAAGCUCCUUCGACGAGUCGAGUUGUUUGGGAAUGCAGCUCCAAAUGGGUGGUAAAUUUCAUCUAAAGCUAAAUACUGGUCGGAGACCGAUAGCGCACAAGUAGAGUGAUCGAAAGAUGAAAAGCACUUUGAAAAGAGAGUUAAACAGCAUGUGAAAUUGUUGAAAGGGAAGCGCUUGCGACCAGAGUCGGCUGUGGGGGUUCAGCGGGCAUUCGUUGCCCGUGCAAUCCCCCGCGGCCGGGCCAGCGUCGGUUUCGACGGCCGGUCAAAGGCCCCCGGAAUGUGUCGCCUCUCGGGGCGUCUUAUAGCCGGGGGUGCAAUGCGGCCAGUCGGGACCGAGGAACGCGCUCCGGCACGGACGCUGGCUUAAUGGUCGUCAGCGACCCG
This 642-nucleotide ribosomal RNA is filed under the name Histoplasma capsulatum var. duboisii. RNAcentral describes it as "eukaryotic LSU rRNA". It matches the Rfam family "Eukaryotic large subunit ribosomal RNA", at positions 1 to 651 of the family's 3401-position model. The record is from RNAcentral. Lineage: Eukaryota; Fungi; Ascomycota; Eurotiomycetes; Onygenales; Ajellomycetaceae.